AGUGAACGCUGGCGGUAGGCCUAACACAUGCAAGUCGAACGGCAGCACAUUAAGUGCUUGCUCUUACGGGUGUCGUGUGGCGGACGGGUGAUGAAUACAUCGGAAUCUACUUUUUCGUGGGGUGUAACUUAGGGUAACUUACGCUAAUACCUCAUCCGACCUACGGGUGAAUGCUGGGGGUCUUCGAACCUUGCGUUCUUGAGUUAGCCGAUGUCGGCUUAGCUAGUUGGCGGGGUAAUGGCACACCAAGGCACCGAUCCGUAGGUGGUCUGAGAGGAUGAUGAGGCACAGUGGAAAUGAGACAGGGACACGACUCCUACGGGAGGCAGAAGUGGGGAAUAUUGGAAAAGGGGCGCAAGCCUGAUCCAGACAUAGCGCGGGGGUGAAGAAGGCCUUCGGGUUGUAAAGCUCUUUUGUUGGGAAAGAAAAGCAGCAGGUUAAGACCGAGCUGUUCUGACGGUACCCAAAGAAGAAGCACCGGCUAACUUCGUG
RNAcentral lists this ribosomal RNA (492 nucleotides) under uncultured bacterium. Its description in RNAcentral is "partial 16S ribosomal RNA". It matches the Rfam family "Bacterial small subunit ribosomal RNA", at positions 29 to 507 of the family's 1533-position model. The record is from RNAcentral.